ACAGUCAUAUAUGCUUAUCUAAAGGAUUAAGCCAUGCAAAGGUAAGAAAAUCAUCUAGAAUGUGGUUUUCGUUUUAAGGCUCCUUAAAUCAGUUAUUGUUUAUUUGAAUGUGGAAUCUGGAAAAAGGUUCAAUCUAUGUGGAUAACUGUGGGAAAACUAUAGAUAAUACAUGCAAAAAGGGGAAACUGAGGCAACUUGGAAUCCCUGCAUUAUCUAGAAAUUUAUCAAGAGGUGUACAAAACUUCUGAUGAUGAAACACAGUUUACUAAAUAGCAGAUCGAUAGCAAUAUCGACGCUUCAUUCAAAUUUCUGCUUUAUCAACUGUCGAUGGUAAGUUAUUGGCUUACCAUGGUUAUCACGAGUAAGGAAUUCGAUGGGAAUGAUUCCUGAGAUUUCGCCUGAGAGAUGGCGAAAAUUUCUAAGGAAAGCAGCAGGCGCGCAAAUUACCCAAUAUUGAGACAAUGAGGUAGUGACAAGACAUAACGACAGGAUUUAGGGUGCAGGAUAAUAUCUUGCACUCAACCUGAUUGCAAUGAGUACAAUUUAAAAAGAUUAAUUAGAAUCAAUUUGAGGGCAAGCUCUGGUGCCAGCAGCCGCGGUAACUCCAGCUCAAAUGGUGUAUAUUAAAAUUGUUGUAAUUAAAAAGUUUGUAGUUUGAAUUUGGAAUUCUGGAUUUAUUGAAUGAUCACAAUGUAAAUAUUGUGGUUAUUUGUUCAGAUUUUCAUUAAUACCAUAAAUAAAAUAGAGUGUUUAAAGCAUGUCAUUUAUUGACAAUUGAAUAAUUUAGUAUGGGAUAAUGAAAGACGAGAGAAAAAAGAGAGUACAUCUCGCAGCAUCAUGUCUUUCCCUGAAUUUUGUAAGAAAUUAAGAGUCUUUAGUCUUUGGGGGUAGUAUGCAUCGCAAGAUUGAAACUUAAAUGAAUUGACGGAAGAGCACCACCAGGUGUGGAAUAUGCGGUUUAAUUUGACUCAACACGGGGAAACUCACCAGGACAGGACAUAAUAAGGAUUGACAGAUUGAAAGCUCUUUCAUGAUUGUAUGGAAAGUGGUGCAUGGCCGAAGUUAGUUCGUGGUUUGAAUUGUCUGCUUAAUUGCGUUAACGAACGAGACCUU
RNAcentral lists this ribosomal RNA (1113 nucleotides) under uncultured soil eukaryote. Its description in RNAcentral is "partial small subunit ribosomal RNA". It matches the Rfam family "Eukaryotic small subunit ribosomal RNA", at positions 17 to 1344 of the family's 1831-position model. The record is from RNAcentral.